AUUGAACGCUGGCGGCAUGCCUUACACAUGCAAGUCGAACGGCAGCACGGGAGCUUGCUCCUGGUGGCGAGUGGCGAACGGGUGAGUAAUGCAUCGGAACGUGCCCUGAAGUGGGGGAUAACGUAGCGAAAGUUACGCUAAUACCGCAUAUUCUGUGAGCAGGAAAGCAGGGGAUCUUCGGACCUUGCGCUUUUGGAGCGGCCGAUGUCGGAUUAGCUAGUUGGUGGGGUAAAGGCCCACCAAGGCGACGAUCCGUAGCGGGUCUGAGAGGAUGAUCCGCCACACUGGAACUGAGACACGGUCCAGACUCCUACGGGAGGCAGCAGUGGGGAAUUUUGGACAAUGGGCGCAAGCCUGAUCCAGCCAUGCCGCGUGAGUAAAGAAGGCCUC
RNAcentral lists this ribosomal RNA (390 nucleotides) under uncultured bacterium. Its description in RNAcentral is "bacterial SSU rRNA". It matches the Rfam family "Bacterial small subunit ribosomal RNA", at positions 30 to 418 of the family's 1533-position model. The record is from RNAcentral.